UACAAGGGACGACAACAAAAAAAUCCUAACAACCCCUAAGUCGUCGCGCCCCUAAUCUCCACCAGCCACACCGCCAGCCUCCUCCCUUAUCAGCCACGCCACCAGCCUUCUCCCUCACGCCAGUUCCUCCCAUCAUUCUGCUCUCUCCCUCUCCACGAACCAGACGACCACCAACAACACCAUAGCCAUUGCUACUUCUGUUUCUUCCCCAUAAACAACUAAUAAAUCACCUGAAAACAGUCACCAAAUCACCGCCAAAACACUUCUCUGGACCUCUCAUGCAAGCGAGCGAAAGGCUCUCAAAGCAGCAAAGUUUAAGUCAAAGUUUUCGGGUUAUCGAGAUCCAUUCGCGAAUCUAGUUUGCUGCCCCUUCUUUGUUUCUUCAGUCGAUUUUUUUUUGGUGCCGUUCGAGUUUGCAACUAGCUCGCGGUUCUGUUCGUUUACUGUCGCAAUUUCUUCAUUUGGAGUUUACCAUCAAAAGUUGUAAUUGCCGGUUAUCCC
RNAcentral lists this long non-coding RNA (501 nucleotides) under Nicotiana benthamiana. RNAcentral describes it as "long non-coding RNA (NBEN_LNC008955)". Lineage: Eukaryota; Viridiplantae; Streptophyta; Magnoliopsida; Solanales; Solanaceae. The record is from RNAcentral.